UGCCAGAUCUUGAUGCUGCACUUGUUUCC
This 29-nucleotide non-coding RNA is filed under the name Mus musculus (house mouse). The record is from RNAcentral. Lineage: Eukaryota; Metazoa; Chordata; Mammalia; Rodentia; Muridae.